RNAcentral lists this ribosomal RNA (255 nucleotides) under uncultured bacterium. Its description in RNAcentral is "partial 16S ribosomal RNA". It matches the Rfam family "Bacterial small subunit ribosomal RNA", at positions 524 to 778 of the family's 1533-position model. The record is from RNAcentral.
UACGUAGGGUGCAAGCGUUAAUCGGAAUACUGGGCGUAAAGCGUGCGCAGGCGGUGAUGUAAGACAGAUGUGAAAUCCCCGGGCUCAACCUGGGAACUGCAUUUGUGACUGCAUCGCUGGAGUGCGGCAGAGGGGAUGGAAUUCCGCGUGUAGCAGUGAAAUGCGUAGAUAUGCGGAGGAACACCGAUGGCGAAGGCAAUCCCCUGGGCCUGCACUGACGCUCAUGCACGAAAGCGUGGGGAGCGAAACAAGGAU